Molecule: ribosomal RNA, 459 nt
Filed under: uncultured bacterium
Lineage: Bacteria
Description: SSU rRNA
Rfam family: Bacterial small subunit ribosomal RNA
Source: RNAcentral
AGAAUCAACGCUGGCGGCGUGCCUAACACAUGCAAGUCGAACGAGAAAGUGGAGCAAUCCAUGAGUAAAGUGGCGCACGGGUGAGUAACACGUGACUAACCUACCCUGGAGUGGGGGAUAACUGAGGGAAACCUUAGCUAAUACCGCAUAAUACCUACGGGUCAAAGGAGCAAUUCGCUUCAGGAGGGGGUCGCGGCCGAUUAGUUAGUUGGCGGGGUAAUGGCCCACCAAGACAGUGAUCGGUAUCCGGCCUGAGAGGGCGCACGGACACACUGGAACUGAAACACGGUCCAGACUCCUACGGGAGGCAGCAGUGGGGAAUUUGCGCAAUGGGGGAAACCCUGACGCAGCAACGCCGCGUGGAGGAUGAAGCCCCUUGGGGCGUAAACUCCUUUCGACCAAGACGAUAAUGACGGUACUGGUGGAAGAAGCACCGGCUAACUCUGUGUCAGCAGCCGC